UGCAGUCGACGGAAGGCCCCUUCGGGGGUACUCGAGUGGCGAACGGGUGAGUAACACGUGGGUGAUCUGCCCUGAACUCUGGGAUAAGCCUGGGAAACUGGGUCUAAUACCGGAUAUGACUUCUGGUCGCAUGGUGGGGGGUGGAAAGCUUUUGCGGUUUGGGAUGGGCCCGCGGCCUAUCAGCUUGUUGGUGGGGUAAUGGCCUACCAAGGCGACGACGGGUAGCCGACCUGAGAGGGUGAUCGGCCACACUGGGACUGAGACACGGCCCAGACUCCUACGGGAGGCAGCAGUGGGGAAUAUUGCACAAUGGGCGCAAGCCUGAUGCAGCGACGCCGCGUGAGGGAUGACGGCCUUCGGGUUGUAAACCUCUUUCGCCAGGGACGAAGCGCAAGUGACGGUACCUGGAGAAGAAGCACCGGCCAACUACGUGCCAGCAGCCGCGGUAAUACGUAGGGUGCGAGCGUUGUCCGGAAUUACUGGGCGUAAAGAGCUCGUAGGCGGUUUGUCGCGUCGUCUGUGAAAUUCUGCAACUCAAUUGCAGGCGUGCAGGCGAUACGGGCAGACUUGAGUACUACAGGGGAGACUGGAAUUCCUGGUGUAGCGGUGAAAUGCGCAGAUAUCAGGAGGAACACCGGUGGCGAAGGCGGGUCUCUGGGUAGUAACUGACGCUGAGGAGCGAAAGCGUGGGGAGCGAACAGGAUUAGAUACCCUGGUAGUCCACGCCGUAAACGGUGGGUACUAGGUGUGGGGCUCAUUUCACGAGUU
RNAcentral lists this ribosomal RNA (768 nucleotides) under Gordonia sp. cb13. RNAcentral's name for it is "bacterial SSU rRNA". It matches the Rfam family "Bacterial small subunit ribosomal RNA", at positions 56 to 840 of the family's 1533-position model. Lineage: Bacteria; Bacillati; Actinomycetota; Actinomycetes; Mycobacteriales; Gordoniaceae. The record is from RNAcentral.